AUUGAACGCUGGCGGCAGGCCUAACACAUGCAAGUCGAACGAGUGGCGGACGGGUGAGUAAUGUCUGGGAAACUGCCCGAUGGAGGGGGCUAACUACUGGAAACGGUAGCUAAUACCGCAUACCAUCAGAUGUGCCCAGAUGGGAUUAGCUAGUUGGGGGGGUAACGGCUCACCAAGGCGACGAUCCCUAGCUGGUCUGAGAGGAUGACCAGCAACACUGGAACGGAGACACGGUCCAGACGCCGACGGGAGGAAGCAGUGGGGAAUAUUGCACAAUGGGCGCAAGCCUGAUGCAGCCAUGCGGCGUGUAUGAAGAAGGCCUUCGGGUUGUAAAGUACUUUCAGCGGGGAGGCGUUACCCGCAGAAGAAGCACCGGCUAACUCCGUGCCAGCAGCCGCGGUAAUAC
This 406-nucleotide ribosomal RNA is filed under the name uncultured bacterium. RNAcentral describes it as "partial 16S ribosomal RNA". It matches the Rfam family "Bacterial small subunit ribosomal RNA", at positions 29 to 526 of the family's 1533-position model. The record is from RNAcentral.